UUGCUUGCUUAGGCAACACAUCUACUAAAACUGGAACAAUGCAGAGAAGAUUAGCAUGGUCUCUGUGCAAGGGUCACAUGCAAGUUUGUGAAGCGUUUCAUAUUUGU
Molecule: small nuclear RNA, 107 nt
Organism: Ochotona princeps (American pika)
Lineage: Eukaryota; Metazoa; Chordata; Mammalia; Lagomorpha; Ochotonidae
Source: Ensembl